RNAcentral lists this ribosomal RNA (224 nucleotides) under uncultured Actinomycetales bacterium. Its description in RNAcentral is "partial 16S ribosomal RNA". It matches the Rfam family "Bacterial small subunit ribosomal RNA", at positions 107 to 334 of the family's 1533-position model. The record is from RNAcentral. Lineage: Bacteria; Bacillati; Actinomycetota; Actinomycetes; Actinomycetales.
UGAGUAACACGUGGGUGAUCUGCCCUGCACUUCGGGAUAAGCUUGGGAAACUGGGUCUAAUACCGGAUAGGACAGCUGUUUAGUGUCAGUUGUGGAAAGUUUUUUCGGUGCAAGAUGAGCUCGCGGCCUAUCAGCUUGUUGGUGGGGUAAUGGCCUACCAAGGCGUCGACGGGUAGCCGGCCUGAGAGGGUGUACGGCCACAUUGGGACUGAGAUACGGCCCAG